GGACAAUGGGCGAAAGCCUGAUCCCGCCAUGCCGCGUGUGUGAAGAAGGUCUUCGGAUUGUAAAGCACUUUAAGUUGGGAGGAAGGGCAUUAACCUAAUACGUUAGUGUUUUGACGUUACCGACAGAAUAAGCACCGGCUAACUC
This 145-nucleotide ribosomal RNA is filed under the name uncultured bacterium. Its description in RNAcentral is "partial 16S ribosomal RNA". It matches the Rfam family "Bacterial small subunit ribosomal RNA", at positions 366 to 503 of the family's 1533-position model. The record is from RNAcentral.